RNAcentral lists this long non-coding RNA (2590 nucleotides) under Salmo salar (Atlantic salmon). RNAcentral's name for it is "lncRNA (ENSSSAG00000087888.1)". Lineage: Eukaryota; Metazoa; Chordata; Actinopteri; Salmoniformes; Salmonidae. The record is from RNAcentral.
CAGAAAUGUCCCAAAAGUGCAAACCCCACCCUCCUGGUACUCUAGGCAAGCUUAAGCAUAAACUGAAAAUAUUUGAACGAUUUCAAAUGGCAUUUGAACCCAGGUCUGGCUCUGAGCCUAACAGCUAUUAUGGCCAGAUGCCAGUCAUAGUAACAGAGAAUCUGUAGCAUUUGUGAGUCAGUCUCCAGCCACGUUUGACUCUCCGUAAACACAUUGUGAUUUAAGAGCUAAAAUGGCCCACGCUCUCUCUAGCCAGUUGUGUGUGAACUGAGCAAACGUUUGUUGUUCUAUCUAAUAAGCUGUCACAGUGACACACACACGACCAAACACUAUCAUGGUCGACUCAACAGAAGGUUCAUUUUCGGAGUCAAGCAGCAUCGGUAGUAUUAUUGAGAGUUGUGAACACAGAAAAAGUGUUGGAGUUGUAUCUUUCCAGUGAUAGUGACCAUCUUCAUACGAAACCUUCAGGGCUAUGUCCUACACUGUCACACUACCAGCCCACCUCAAGUUUCUUUCUCUCCUUCUGUAGCCACUUUCACAAAGAGACAGGUUGUAGCUCAUCAGGAUGCAUGGCUCAAUUAGGCCUCUUUAGCCCUUCCAUACUGUCCAGUUCUGUGACCCAUCCACAUAUAGGUAACUGCCACAUCCACAUACAGGUAACUGACCCAUCCACAUACAGGUAACUGACCCAUCCCCAUACAGGUAACUGCCACAUCCACAUACAGGUAACUGACCCAUCCACAUACAGGUAACUGACCCAUCCACAUACAGGUAACUGACCCAUCCACAUACAGGUAACUGACCCAUCCACAUACAGGUAACUGACACAUCCACAUACAGGUAACUGACCCAUCCACAUACAGGUAACUGACACAUCCACAUACAGGUAACUGACCCAUCCACAUACAGGUAACUGACUCAUCUCCAUACAGGUAACUGACUCAUCCACAUACAGGUAACUGACACAUCCCCAUACAGGUAACUGACCCAUCCACAUACAGGUAACUGACACAUCCACAUACAGGUAACUGCGACAUCCACAUACAGGUAACUGACACAUCCACAUACAGGUAACUGACCCAUCCACAUACAGGUAACUGACCCAUCCACAUACAGGUAACUGCCAUAUCCACAUACAGGUAACUGCCACAUCCACAUACAGGUAACUGACCCAUCCACAUACAGGUAACUGCCACGUCCACAUACAGGUAACUGACACAUCCAUAUACAGGUAACUGACCCAUCCACAUACAGGUAACUGACCCAUCCACAUACAGGUAACUGCCACAUCCCCAUACAGGUAACUGACCCAUCCACAUACAGGUAACUGACACAUCCACAUACAGGUAACUGACCCAUCCACAUACAGGUAACUGACACAUCCACAUACAGGUAACUGACACAUCCAUAUACAGGUAACUGACCCAUCCACAUACAGGUAACUGACCCAUCCACAUACAGGUAACUGCCACAUCCCCAUACAGGUAACUGACCCAUCCACAUACAGGUAACUGACACAUCCACAUACAGGUAACUGACACAUCCACAUACAGGUAACUGACACAUCCACAUACAGGUAACUGCCAUAUCCACAUACAGGUAACUGCCACAACAAUGGAAACAUAAAGUGUCUUAACAGGGCUUUGGGCCUCAUAUCUCUACAUUCUUACGUCUGGUCCCAGAUCUGUAGCAGCACAAACAGGACUGUGACAAGGCUUUGUAUAUUUGCAUGGGCAGAACAGUGUUUGUUAACAGCAGAGCAAAAGAGGAAGUUAGAGCUAGGCUUUUCUCAUGCCAGUUCAUCUCCAGUGUGUACGUAUCACAUGCCUCUCUUGGGUUGGUUAAUCAGCGGUCGUGUUGUGUUUGCUCUGUUCGGAAUACAAGCGGGGCAAGACUGAUUCGUGAUUCGUUUGGUUUGGAUAGGGAGAUCAGCAUAGACAAAUGGUUCUCUCAGAGGAGACUGUUUAUGGCAAUCAACAGAGUGCAACACACACACGUAUGUUGUGUAGAGGGAAGGAAGGAGCGAACACAUUCUCUUUCGCACGCACGCACACACACACACACACACACACACACACACACACACACACACACACACACACACACACACACACACACACACACACACACACACACACACACACACACACACACACACACACACACAUUAUUGGCCUUGAGUGGUGUUACUUCAGGGACCAACAGAUAAGACUAAGGGCAUGUUUUGGUACCAUGAAUGGUUUUAAGGAUAAACAGUUGAAUGCUGUCCAUCCCAGGGGAGCGUCAUCCUCAGUCAUGCGCCGGCCCGGUUUGUUGUUUUUAAAACAUCUCUGAGGUCAUCUGAGACAUCUGGCUUGUUUUUCCAGCAAACUACUUAGUCCUGGGGCUGUUUUUCCCAUGGUUCCCUUUCCAGGACAUGCAAACACAACAGAUAGUGUCUCCCAUUGAGGCAGUCUCACUGGACCUGCAUGGGAGACAGUGAUUUGCAUGCAUGGAGAAAAACUGUCACUUUGCAAGGCGGCCAUUUUUUAUCAGUGGCCCAGGGUUCAUGCAAAGGUAGGCUUUUUCUUAGCACACCGUUUUUGUGUUA